RNAcentral lists this ribosomal RNA (1475 nucleotides) under uncultured Bordetella sp. Its description in RNAcentral is "partial 16S-23S ribosomal RNA intergenic spacer". It matches the Rfam family "Bacterial small subunit ribosomal RNA". Lineage: Bacteria; Pseudomonadati; Pseudomonadota; Betaproteobacteria; Burkholderiales; Alcaligenaceae. The record is from RNAcentral.
GGUUCGAUCCUGGCUCAGAUUGAACGCUGGCGGGAUGCUUUACACAUGCAAGUCGAACGGCAGCACGGACUUCGGUCUGGUGGCGAGUGGCGAACAGGUGAGUAAUGUAUCGGAACGUGCCUAGUAGCGGGGGAUAACUGCAUGAAAGCGUAGCUAAUACCACAUACGCCCUUCGGAAAGCGGGACGCUGGGCCUCGCACUAUUAGAGCAGCCGAUAUCGGAUUAGCUAGUUGGUGGGGUAACGGCUCACCAAGGCGACGAUCCGUAGCUGGUUUGAGAGGACGACCAGCCACACUGGGACUGAGACAGCGGCCCAGGCUCCUGCAGGAGGCAGCAGUGGGGAAUUUUGGACAAUGGGGAAACCUGAUCCAGCCAUCCCGCGUGUGCGAUGAAGGCCUUCAGGAGUUUGUAAAGCACUUUUGGCAGGAAAGAAACGGCGAUGCAUCCCGUGCAACUGACGUACCUGCAGAAUAGCGCCGGCUAACGUGCCAGCAGCCGCGGUAAUACGUAAGUGCAGCGUUAAUCAAGGAAUUACUGGGCGUAAAGCGUACGCUGUUGGUUCGGAAAGAAGAUCUUGAAAUCAGAAACGCUUUGGAACUGCAUUUUAACUACCGAGCUAGAGUGUGUCAGAGGGAGGUGGAAUUCCGCGUGUAGCAGUGAAAUGCGUAGAUACUUGGAGGAACACCGAUGGCGAAGGCAGCCUCCUGGGAUAACACUGACGCUCAUGCACGAAAGCGUGGGGAGCAAACAGGAUUAGAUACCCUGGUAGUCCACGCCCUAAACGAUGUCAACUAGCUGUUGGGGCCUUCGGGCCUUGUUGGCCGCAGCUAACGCGUGAGGAUUGACCGCCUGGGAAGUGGUCGCAAGAUUAAUGCUCUGAGAAUUGACGGGGACCCGCACAAGCGGUGGAUGAUGUGGAUUAAUUCGAUGCAACGCGAAAACCUUACCUACCCUUGACAUGUCUGGAAUCCCGAAGAGAUUUGGGAGUGCUCGCAAGAGAACCGGAACACAGGUGCUGCAUGGCUGUCGUCAGCUCGUGUCGUGAGAUGUUGGGUUAAGUCCCGCAACGAGCGCAACCCUUGUCAUUGAAUUUACUACGAAGGGCACUCUAAUGAGACUGCCGGUGACAAACCGGAGGAAGGUGGGGAUGAGUCCUCAUGGCCCUUAUGGGUAGGGCUUCACACGUCAUACAAAUGAAUUCUCACCCGAGAUGGUCGCCAACCUUACGAGAAGAACCAAUCCCAAGAAAACCAGGCGAUCGUAGUCGGAUCGCAGUCUGCAACUCGACUGCGUGAAGUCCAGAAUCUUCGAUAAUCACUUGGAUCAAGCAUGUCGCGGUGAAUACGUUCCCGGGUCUUGUACACACCGUAGCUCACACCAUGGGAAUUGGGUUUACCAAAGUAGUUAAGCCUAACCGUAAGGAGGCGAUUACCACGAGUAGGAUUCAUGACUGGGGUGAAGUCGUAACAAGGUAA